RNAcentral lists this non-coding RNA (183 nucleotides) under Cohnella xylanilytica. RNAcentral describes it as "6S / SsrS RNA". It matches the Rfam family "6S / SsrS RNA". From Rfam's summary of the family: E. coli 6S RNA was the first non coding RNA to be sequenced, but its function was unknown until recently. It consists of 184 nucleotides that fold into an extended hairpin structure with a large single-stranded internal bulge. Lineage: Bacteria; Bacillati; Bacillota; Bacilli; Caryophanales; Paenibacillaceae. The record is from Rfam by way of RNAcentral.
UACCUCCUGCGAUGUUCGUCACGGCGAAUAAUGUUUUGAACCAAUGCUGUUUCAAAGGGAGUCCUACAUUGCCAAGCGGCUGGCACGCCCUCGAAAGGGGAAGUCAAUAAGCUUCGCUGCGGACACCCACCUGCGAGAGCGGGUUCAGAAACGUGCACGUCGAACGGCAUAGGCGGGUUUUUC